AUGGGUGCCACCGUGAGCCGAUCGGCGCGUAUGACGUCCGACGACUUGCCGGUCUUGUGGUACUCCAAGCUGGUGCGGUCACGUCGCGUGCUGAAUGUGGGCAAAGUCUUCUUCGACGGCCUCGUCUGCAACGUCGAAAUUUUGCCCAUGUGUUUCGACAAGGACGGCCUAGCCAACGUCUUGAUCGUCUCGGUGGGCGUCAUGUUGGAUCGUCACCUCAGAUCGUUCGCCGGCACCCACGUCUCCCUCGAAAUCUUGGACGCGACCGGCCAGCACACCGUCUUCCACAAAGACAGUGACCAAGAAGAGGACAGUUUCUACUGGCUGACCAUGUACGUGCGCAGGUGCGAGCUGGAGGCGUCGUCGUGCGUGUCUGCCAGCGACAGAUUAACCAUCCGGUGCACUCUGGAGAAGAAGCAGCAGGUAACAAAGCGGCCGCACCUGCUCGGAAUCUUGUUCAAACCCAACGCGGUUCAGGAGCCGCCGCAGGUCGCCAUGGACGGGUCCCACACGCUCACCGUCGGCAGCUUCUCCGAGCUCAGCGCGGCGCUUCGUGCCGAAGGGGACGGUAUCUACUCCAGGCACUUCGCCAUAGGGGGGAGCAGAUGGUACAUCAAAUUCUGCCCCAAAUAUCACGGACGGUCCUUCUUGUGCCUCGGCCGCGGCCGCAUGGGCAAGGGCGAGAUGCCGAUGACGGUAGAGUUCAGCUUCGACCUCAAAGGGGUGGUGAACCACCAGUCCCAGAAGAUGACGCACACGUUCGACCGUGACAACGAUGACUUCUUCUACGAUCUAGAGCAAAUUAGAAGAACGUCGCCCAUGCAGGACGACAGCCUCCUUGUUCGGUGCUGCCUCACCGUUGUCAUGCCGGAGGAGACUCCCAUCGCCGUCCCAGUGUGCAGCAGCGAAUCAGUGCUCACUCCUCUACUCAGCGCCAUGCAUGGCUAG
This 948-nucleotide ribosomal RNA is filed under the name Triticum aestivum (bread wheat). Its description in RNAcentral is "partial small subunit ribosomal RNA". The record is from RNAcentral. Lineage: Eukaryota; Viridiplantae; Streptophyta; Magnoliopsida; Poales; Poaceae.